GACGAACGCUGGCGGCGUGCUUAACACAUGCAAGUCGAACGGAAAGGCGCUGCUUUUGCGGCUUUCUCGAUUGCCGAACGCGGGAGUAACACGUGAGGAUCCUGCCCUUGUCUUUGUGAGAACUUCAGGGAACUCGGGCGAAUAUCCGAGAUGAGCUCCUGCUCCACGGGGGGCGUUGGAAAGAGUCGGCGGUUGUGGAUGGUCUCGCUGGUUAUCAGCUUGAUGGGGUGGUAGUUGAUUACCAAGGCUUUGACGGGUAGCCUGCCUGAGAGGGUGACCGGCCACAUUGGGACUGAGGUACGGCGCAGACUCCUACCGGACGCAGUAGUGGGGAAUAUUGCACAAUGGGGGGAAGCCUGAUGUAGAAGUGCCGCGUGCGGGAUGCCGGCCUUCGGGUUGUAAACCGAUUUCGAAUGUGACGAGGAGUGAGUGACGGUAAUGGGUCAAGAAGCACCGGCUAACUACGUG
Molecule: ribosomal RNA, 468 nt
Filed under: uncultured bacterium
Lineage: Bacteria
Description: partial 16S ribosomal RNA
Rfam family: Bacterial small subunit ribosomal RNA
Source: RNAcentral